RNAcentral lists this ribosomal RNA (242 nucleotides) under uncultured Staphylococcus sp. Its description in RNAcentral is "partial 16S ribosomal RNA". It matches the Rfam family "Bacterial small subunit ribosomal RNA", at positions 99 to 334 of the family's 1533-position model. The record is from RNAcentral. Lineage: Bacteria; Bacillati; Bacillota; Bacilli; Caryophanales; Staphylococcaceae.
CGGACGGGUGAGUAACACGUGGAUAACCUACCUAUAAGACUGGGAUAACUUCGGGAAACCGGAGACUAAUACCGGAUAAUAUUUUGAACCGCAUGGUUCAAAAGUGAAAGACGGUCUUGCUGUCACUUAUAGAUGGAUCCGCGCUGCAUUAGCUAGUCGGUAAGGUAACGGCUUACCAAGGCAACGAUGCAUAGCCGACCUGAGAGGGUGAUCGGCCACACUGGAACUGAGACACGGUCCAG